CAGUGCCAGCAAAUUGCGCAUG
RNAcentral lists this unclassified non-coding RNA (22 nucleotides) under Chlamydomonas reinhardtii. Its description in RNAcentral is "small RNA Cre_0955". The record is from RNAcentral. Lineage: Eukaryota; Viridiplantae; Chlorophyta; Chlorophyceae; Chlamydomonadales; Chlamydomonadaceae.